UACGGGGGGAGCAAGCGUUGUUCGGAUUUACUGGGCGUAAAGGGCGCGUAGGCGGUCGUGACAAGUCACUUGUGAAAUCUCCGGGCUUAACUCGGAACGGUCAAGUGAUACUGUCGGACUAGAGUACAGAAGGGGCAACUGGAAUUCUCGGUGUAGCGGUGAAAUGCGUAGAUAUCGAGAGGAACACCUGCGGCGAAGGCGGGUUGCUGGGCUAACACUGACGCUCAGGCACGAAAGCGUGGGGAGCAAACAGG
RNAcentral lists this ribosomal RNA (254 nucleotides) under uncultured bacterium. Its description in RNAcentral is "partial 16S ribosomal RNA". It matches the Rfam family "Bacterial small subunit ribosomal RNA", at positions 524 to 776 of the family's 1533-position model. The record is from RNAcentral.